RNAcentral lists this ribosomal RNA (81 nucleotides) under Vibrio splendidus. RNAcentral describes it as "partial 16S ribosomal RNA". It matches the Rfam family "Bacterial small subunit ribosomal RNA", at positions 1 to 81 of the family's 1533-position model. Lineage: Bacteria; Pseudomonadati; Pseudomonadota; Gammaproteobacteria; Vibrionales; Vibrionaceae. The record is from RNAcentral.
AAAUUGAAGAGUUUGAUCAUGGCUCAGAUUGAACGCUGGCGGCAGGCCUAACACAUGCAAGUCGAGCGGAAACGACACUAA